GACGAACGCUGGCGGCGUGCUUAACACAUGCAAGUCGAACGCUGAAGCUCAGCUUUUGUUGGGUGGAUGAGUGGCGAACGGGUGAGUAACACGUGAGUAACCUGCCUCCUUCUUUGGGAUAACGCCCGGAAACGGGCGCUAAUACUGGAUAUUCACUGGUCUUCGCAUGGGGGUUGGUGGAAAGGGUUUUUCUGGUGGGGGAUGGGCUCGCGGCCUAUCAGCUUGUUGGUGGGGUGAUGGCCUACCAAGGCUUUGACGGGUAGCCGGCCUGAGAGGGUGACCGGUCACAUUGGGACUGAGAUACGGCCCAGACUCCUACGGGAGGCAGCAGUGGGGAAUAUUGCACAAUGGGCGCAAGCCUGAUGCAGCGACGCCGCGUGAGGGAUGGAGGCCUUCGGGUUGUGAACCUCUUUCGCUCAUGGUCAAGCCGCAACAAUGGUUGUGGUGAGGGUAGUGGGUAAAGAAGCGCCGGCUAACUACGU
RNAcentral lists this ribosomal RNA (482 nucleotides) under uncultured bacterium. RNAcentral describes it as "partial 16S ribosomal RNA". It matches the Rfam family "Bacterial small subunit ribosomal RNA", at positions 28 to 506 of the family's 1533-position model. The record is from RNAcentral.